AGCGGCAGGACAUUACUGA
RNAcentral lists this ribosomal RNA (19 nucleotides) under Colletotrichum truncatum. RNAcentral describes it as "partial 18S ribosomal RNA". The record is from RNAcentral. Lineage: Eukaryota; Fungi; Ascomycota; Sordariomycetes; Glomerellales; Glomerellaceae.